RNAcentral lists this ribosomal RNA (369 nucleotides) under uncultured organism. Its description in RNAcentral is "bacterial SSU rRNA". It matches the Rfam family "Bacterial small subunit ribosomal RNA", at positions 526 to 896 of the family's 1533-position model. The record is from RNAcentral.
CGGAGGUGGCAAGCGUUACUCGGAAUUAUUGGGUGUAAAGGGCAAGUAGGCGGUUUAGUAAGUGGGUGGUGAAAUACUCCUGCUCAACAGGAGAACUGCCUUCCAAACUACUAGACUUGAGUGUGACAGAGGAAACGGAAUUCUCGGUGUAAGGGUGAAAUCUGUAGAUAUCGAGAAGAACACCAGCGGCGAAGGCGGUUUUCUGGGUCACUACUGACGCUAAAUUGCGAAAGCUAGGGGAGCAAACAGAAUUAGAUACUCUGGUAGUCCUAGCCGUAAACGAUGAGCACUAGGUGUUGGCUCCUUUAGGAGUCGGUGCCGCAGCUAACGCAUUAAGUGCUCCACCUGGGGACUACGGUCGCAAGGCUA